This 68-nucleotide transfer RNA is filed under the name Ictidomys tridecemlineatus (thirteen-lined ground squirrel). RNAcentral describes it as "Spermophilus tridecemlineatus (thirteen-lined ground squirrel) tRNA". It matches the Rfam family "tRNA". Rfam says of the family: Transfer RNA (tRNA) molecules are approximately 80 nucleotides in length. Their secondary structure includes four short double-helical elements and three loops (D, anti-codon, and T loops). Further hydrogen bonds mediate the characteristic L-shaped molecular structure. tRNAs have two regions of fundamental functional importance: the anti-codon, which is responsible for specific mRNA codon recognition, and the 3' end, to which the tRNAs corresponding amino acid is attached (by aminoacyl-tRNA synthetases). tRNAs cope with the degeneracy of the genetic code in two manners: having more than one tRNA (with a specific anti-codon) for a particular amino acid; and 'wobble' base-pairing, i.e. permitting non-standard base-pairing at the 3rd anti-codon position. Lineage: Eukaryota; Metazoa; Chordata; Mammalia; Rodentia; Sciuridae. The record is from Rfam by way of RNAcentral.
GGGGUUGUGGCUCAGUGGUAGAGCGCUCACUUCUCACUGAGAGGCCCUGGGUUCGAUCCUCAGCUCCA